UACGUAGGGUGCAAGCGUUACUCGGAAUUACUGGGCGUAAAGCGUGCGCAGGCGGCUUUGCAAGACAGAUGUGAAAGCCCCGGGCUUAACCUGGGAAUGGCCAUGGAAACUGGCGAACUGGAGUGUGGCAGAGGGGGGUGGAAUUCCGCGUGUAGCAGUGAAAUGCGUAGAGAUGCGGAGGAACACCGAUGGCGAAGGCAGCCCCCUGGGCUAGCACUGACGCUCAGGCACGAAAGCGUGGGGAGCAAACAGG
This 253-nucleotide ribosomal RNA is filed under the name uncultured bacterium. RNAcentral describes it as "partial 16S ribosomal RNA". It matches the Rfam family "Bacterial small subunit ribosomal RNA", at positions 524 to 776 of the family's 1533-position model. The record is from RNAcentral.